This is a non-coding RNA of Mauremys reevesii (Reeves's turtle), 506 nucleotides long. The record is from the annotation of a RefSeq genome assembly. NCBI's taxonomy places the organism in Eukaryota, Metazoa, Chordata, Testudines, Geoemydidae.
AAAAGAUGAUGCUGUGGCUACCGGUCCCUUUCAUGGCAGCAAUUCCCAGAGGUGCCCAUUCGCAGAUUCAGCUGGUGGAGUCUGGGGGAGGCGUUAAAACCACAGGAGAGUCUCUCAGCAUCUCCUGUAAAGCCUCCGGAUUUACCUUUGGAAGCUAUUGGAUGUAUUGGUACCGCCAAGCUCCCGGGAAAGCGCCAGAGUGGAUCUCCUACAUUAACCCCGACAGCACGAACGCGGACUAUGGACACUCAGUGAAAGGGCGAUUCACCAUCUCCAGAGACAACCCCGACAACCUGCUGUAUCUGCCAAUGACCGGCCUGAGACCCGAGGACGCGGCGGUGUAUCACUGCCAGAGAGACACAGUGACUGGCCGGGAAUCUAACCACGUACAAACCCAUCCCCUGUGCAGUCACAGCCCGCUGCAGGGCACAGCCCAGGGGAAGGGUCAGACACACGCAGAACUGAACCAAGGAGAUAAUGUCCCCAGCGCUGCCACCAGCGCGUGA